This 783-nucleotide long non-coding RNA is filed under the name Mytilus galloprovincialis (Mediterranean mussel). Lineage: Eukaryota; Metazoa; Mollusca; Bivalvia; Mytilida; Mytilidae. The record is from RNAcentral.
UUUUUUUUUUGUAAAAAGAUUAAUAAGUCUAUACUUCGUGAACUUUCCCAUUUCCCGUGUACUUAAUUUUUAGGAGACAAUUCUUUACAUAUAAAUAUUUUUUUCGACAGUAUUUACUGAAUCAGUUUAUGUCAAAAGUAAAAUUACAAAAUACUGAACUCCGAGGAAAAUUCAAAACGGAAAGUCCCUAUUCAAAUGGCAAAUUCAAAUGAUAAAACACAUCAAACGAAUGGACAACAACUGUCAUAUUCCUGACUUAGUACAGGCAUUUUCAAAUGUAGAAAAUGAUGGAUUGAACCUGGUUUUAUAGCGUUAAACCUCUCACUUAUAUGAAAGUCACAUCACAGUAGAUAGAUUCGGUAUGGUUGAGUUGACCAGUUCUUCGAAAAAACGUCACUCAGUCAUUUUGAAAUUCAAAUUACAGGAACACAUUUUUUAUUCUGAGCAUGAAAAAUCAUGACACCUUCAAAGCGACAAAGGAGUGAGCAAGAACGUAUUGACUUCUACUUCACAAUUCAACCAAACAGAAAGUUAUACUCUAUUAUACUCUCAUGAAAAAAAGUUCCACAUUAAUAUUAUUUACCUACAAAAUUAUGUUUAACCCCAAACGGCCGCGCCCAUCUUAAAAUAACAUAGCUGAAUAACUAUCCCCAGUCAGUAUACGCUCUCAGACUGGAUAGAUUUAAAGUGCAAGGUACGAACCAUUUGUUUGAGGAGGCAGUCUGAGAUAUUUGAGAGAACAAAUCUUACUCUACUUUUUGCCUUAAACAAACAUUCUGGCCG